Molecule: ribosomal RNA, 433 nt
Filed under: uncultured bacterium
Lineage: Bacteria
Description: partial 16S ribosomal RNA
Rfam family: Bacterial small subunit ribosomal RNA
Source: RNAcentral
AACGAACGCUGGCGGCAUGCCUAACACAUGCAAGUCGAACGAGACCUUCGGGUCUAGUGGCGCACGGGUGCGUAACGCGUGGGAACCUGCCCUUAGGUUCGGAAUAACUCCCCGAAAGGGGUGCUAAUACCGGAUAAUGUCUUCGGACCAAAGAUUUAUUGCCUUUGGAUGGGCCCGCGUUGGAUUAGCUAGUUGGUAGGGUAAAAGCCUACCAAGGCGACGAUCCAUAGCUGGUCUGAGAGGAUGAUCAGCCACACUGGGACUGAGACACGGCCCAGACUCCUACGGGAGGCAGCAGUGGGGAAUAUUGGACAAUGGGCGAAAGCCUGAUCCAGCAAUGCCGCGUGAGUGAUGAAGGCCUUAGGGUUGUAAAGCUCUUUUACCCGGGAUGAUAAUGACAGUACCGGGAGAAUAAGCUCCGGCUAACUACGUG